Molecule: ribosomal RNA, 132 nt
Filed under: Staphylococcus pseudintermedius
Lineage: Bacteria; Bacillati; Bacillota; Bacilli; Caryophanales; Staphylococcaceae
Description: partial 16S ribosomal RNA
Rfam family: Bacterial small subunit ribosomal RNA
Source: RNAcentral
GAACUGUAGAGUUUGAUCCUGGCUCAGAUUGAACGCUGGCGGCAUGCCUUACACAUGCAAGUCGAACGGUAACAGGUCUUCGGAUGCUGACGAGUGGCGAACGGGUGAGUAAUACAUCGGAACGUGCCCAGA